GGAUAUUGUUUUUAAUGUCGAGAGUUGUCUGUGGGGGUUUUACACCAACAUAAUUCUACUGGGAAAUAGUGCUAAAAAGAAGGAUAAAAAAACA
Molecule: unclassified non-coding RNA, 94 nt
Filed under: soil metagenome
Description: partial internal transcribed spacer 1
Source: RNAcentral